Manis javanica (Malayan pangolin) is the source of this 451-nucleotide non-coding RNA. The record is from RefSeq and is a predicted model, not a curated record. NCBI's taxonomy places the organism in Eukaryota, Metazoa, Chordata, Mammalia, Pholidota, Manidae.
AGUUUUCCACUUGAUUGAACCUCCUUCUGGCUGCCACAAAGAUAUUCUGUCAGCCUUGAUCUCCACUGUCUCCAUCUUGUGGGACCACCUCAGAUGUGAUGGGUAUCCAGGAGUCUAUUCUACCUACUACACCAUUGGGCUACAACGCACCACCCCGGGCUUCCUUGUUCCCUCCUGGCAUGAGCCAGGAGCUCUGUCCUCUCACUGUAUCUCUAAAUAAAAGUCUCUCCCUGGCUCUCCUACCUUGCGUGUUUGCUAAGUUCAUUCUUCAACUCCGCAAACAAAAACUCCCAGCCUCAGUAUGUUAAUUAGAAAUAUUUGUUUUACAGCUUGUGUUUAAACACCAGAAAAAAAUAAUGCAUUCUACCUCACAUACUUGGUCCCCAACAAUUCUCUUCAGCCAACCUUUCUGAUCCAGGUAAUAUGGCAGAUCAGAGGCCAAGAAUUAUUU